RNAcentral lists this long non-coding RNA (481 nucleotides) under Gossypium raimondii (Peruvian cotton). RNAcentral describes it as "long non-coding RNA (GRAI_LNC000041)". Lineage: Eukaryota; Viridiplantae; Streptophyta; Magnoliopsida; Malvales; Malvaceae. The record is from RNAcentral.
UGGAAACAAUUCCAAAGUUGGCUACACUAGUAGGGCUUUCAUUGCAUCCCUUCCUUUCCGAUAACUCCUAUCAACAGGUCAGUGCAAUCUCAAGUGUUUUGUUCUGCUUGCAGUUCAUACCAAAGAAAGGGGUGUCUCCUACGAAACAUGAGAUCAUAUUCAUUGCUCCCACAGGGGAGGAAAUUAGUAACAAGAGGCAAUUGGAAAAGUACCUUAAAGCACACCCUGGGGGUCCAGCAGUAUCAGAAUUUUAUUGGGGCACCGGCGAGACCCCAAGGAGAUCUGCAAGGAUUAGUGAGAAGGUAAAAGCAAUGCCAACAACAUAAAGUGAACUUUCAAAAAAACGAGGCAGCGGCUUCGAAGGAUAACAAGGAAUCCGAGACUGCAUCUGGAGGAAUUGAGGAGACUAAAGACAUUCAAAUGGAAGAGGCUGAAAAGUCUGAGAAAAUGAAUGUGGAAGGAGAGGUUGGAAACGUUGCUG